GAUUGUCCUGUGGAUGAAGCAAAGCUCCAGAUAGGCAUGGAGAAAGGCAUUGGGCCCAGGCCCAGGGGGUGCUACCUCUGGCCCUAUUUGCCCAAAAGCCCACUGUCCACUGGUGGGCUUUCCCCAGCCUAGCCCAUCAGGAACAACUUCCUGAUGGUCUCAGGACGUGCUUACCCCAGGAAUUCUCAAGUGUUUCUGUUUGUCUUUCAUUUCUGCCUCUCUUUCUGAGAAAGGGAAGUUGGAUUCCGGGUUGGCUGCCGAGAACCAGGGCUGAAGCCGCCUCUCUAGGUACGCCAGAGGAGAAAGAACAUUGAGAUUUCCGUCCUGGAUUGUCUGCUGAGACCAACCUUGGUCAAGAAGCCUGCCUCCUAUUUAUUGAUCCACACUCUUCACAUCUUAAAUAUUUAAUAAUGUGUUUUGCUGCUUGGUAGAUUUUUUUUGGAAGCCCAAGCUAAUGUCUCUUUGUGCACACCGGUGCAUAUAUUUAAGGACUGAUUGAACGACGGAUGCUGUCUCUUACCAUGUGCUACCUUGAGACUCUUCAGGUAAGAAGGCUGUGGCAGCUGCUCUUCCUGAAGCAUGAGGCAAAUAACCUCUUUAUAUCCUAAGAUGUUCUUUUAAAAAAUUACCAUAUCGUCUGCUUAUUCAUUUAUAUCCUAUUAUUGACUUAUCUAUACACACAGCCAUCCUAACAGGACAUCCUGUGCCAUGAAUGGGGAGAACCCCUGCUGAGAUCCUGGUUUCUGUCCUCUGAAGAGAGAACACCUUGACCUUCCUGUGGUAAAGCCUCUCACCUCCUCACUACAUUCUCCCCAUGACCUGAAGCUCUCUCACAAACUUCAACAUAAGGACUUGCUUUUAUUUUGCUGAGUGUCAUGUGGCCAUCUUAAUUUUCACCUGCAAGCAGAGCUGUAGACAUGGGAUAGUCUCAUGGACAGUCUGUUACCGUCUACUUUAAUUCAUAGCUGAUUGAUGAGUUCAUGUUGUCUCUAGGUUCCCACAUCUCUCCUUGCUCCCCAAGCCCAGUCUUGAAAGGAUGGAGUUUUGCAAGGAUCCUUCUUGCUCCCAUUGAGAGUCGGCUGUGAGAAGGACAGUCCAGUGGGCCUCAGCUUCCUCUCCACUGUUAGCUUUUACUCUUACUCACACCAAAUGGCUUUUCUCUACACUUGAGUUCGGAGAGUUCCUGCUGGACAAAAGGACAGGAGAACUCAGAGGGAACAAAUGUUCCGGGCCUGAGGAGGUGAGGAGGAGGGAGAAGUCAAAGGCCAAAGAAAGGCAGGGUGACAAAGAAGAGGAGGAGGUCUGGUUUGGAGAGCCUUUCAAAUCCCAAUUUGACCAGAAACAAAGGGCAUUUGACACAUUUUAAAGCAAAAAUAACCAAAAUUAGUAAUUACAUCUACCAGCUUGUUUAUCAACCAUCCAGUAAGUAUCAGCACAUUCUGUCCUUGGACUGUCAACUAAAUUAAGUGAUUGCCUUAAUUAAAACUAUGAAGAGAAAUGAAAAGAAUGCGGUGCAUUCCUGUUAAUGUUUUCAGAGUCUCACCACUACGGUAGAAACUUAGCUAAAUCAUUGCAGGGAAAGCAUUUGGUCAGGUUUUGAAAUACUAUUUGUAGUGACUGCCUAGCUACAGAAAUGGGCAUUUAGAAGGACCAUCUGGAAAAGAUAGAAUUAAAAUUAAAAACUGAAUGGGGCUGGAGGGACGGCUUUGCAGUUAAGAGUGCUUGCUACUCUUCUGGAGAACCUAACUUCAUUCCCCAGAACCCACAUUUGGUGCUCACAACUGCCUGUAGCUCCGGUCCAUGGUGUCUAACACCUUCUUUUAGCCUCCAGGAGCACAUGAACGUGGAACCCCCCCUUUCUCUUCUCUCUUAAAAAAAGUUUGCUCAGCAGACCAAAGUGAAGGGACGGUAUUUGUAUUUGCAAGGACAGGAGUACAGGUGUCCGAAUAGUUGUUAAUUUGCCAAGUUUUGAGCUGCGAGUUUUUCCUUGAUGUGGAUUCCAGGGAAGGAUUAUAGUUUAUCCUUUGUGAGAAACACCAUCUUAUUAUAAAAUGAAAAAAAAAAAACCCAGCCUCCACAGAAUCUGAGUCCUGAAUUUUGCUUCCGGCAUGCCAUCUCCCGUUUACUUAACUAGAGAAAUAAAAUUGGAGGGAAUUUGGCCUUCAGGUUAUAGGGCUGGGAAAUGCUUUGAGAGACCUUCUGGUUGGAUUACUUCUAAGCCCUCCCUGACAGAGGAAAAUUUAUCUUAUUUUUAAGUGCUCCCCAGAGGCAGAGCGUCCACAGACUCCCUUACUAACUCCUUCCAGUGUUUAACAAUCUCCACAUUCAGGAAAUUCCUUCUCCGGUCUUACCUAAGACCCUCUCUGUCCAGCUUAGCCCAUUUCUUUUGACCCAGUCCCAGAGGAGAUGUGGAAAGAAAGGUUACCCUCUUAUACAAACAUCCCUUCACAUGAUUAAAGAUUACUAUAAAAAAAGCCCCAAGUUGUCCAUCUCUGCUCCCUGAUCUCAUGGAACCACCCCACUUCCUUUAGGGUCCUGCUUUCUUUCAGGGUUCCAUCUCGUAGCCUUUUCUUCACCUUUCAGGGGGACUGGGCUAGGUUUGCAUCACCCAAGGUCUGCAAUGUGUGCUGGGAGAGGAGGCAGAACCCGACGUGUGUCCGUGCAUGUUCCCCAGACUCUGAGUGCCUGGCAGACUGGCAUUGAUAAUAUGGAUUUUUAAACUUUUUAUAUUUUCAUAUUAUAAUGGUUUUCAAGGUCAAAUCUAUUAUUCCUAGGUUUGUGAACAUUUCCAUUGGUAUACAUGAACUCUCUAGAUUUUUAAGCAGUGAGGAGGUAUAAUAGUAUAAUAGUACAUAAUAUCCUAAGAAUCACCACUGUACCUGGAGUUCACUAAUAAGAUGUGCUAAGAACCACAGCUGUCCCUUGGUCUUCACUGGAGAUGGGUUACAGGGUCCCUUUCUCUGCCCUUAGAUAUUCAAAUUUUCAGAAAUUCAGGUUCUUUAUAAAUGACGCACUGAUGUGCUGCUGUAUGUCAGACAUUUCCUUCAUAUACUUUACAUUAUCUCUAGAUUCCUAGUUAGGCCUAAGACAACAUGAAUGCUAUCUAAACAAUUUCUAUACUGCAUUGUUUAAGAACAUGCUUGUGUUUCUGGAUGGCUGUAAAGUGUCACAAAACAAAACCCCAAAUUAUGAGUCUGGGAAAGUGAAUGGUAGUUAUGAGGGGAGGUUGACAGCGAUGGGAGGGAGAUGAGACAGAAGAGUAGGGAGAGCUUAAUCAUAAUAUAUUGUAUACAUGUAUAAAAUGUCAAUUAAUAUACCAAUAAGAAGAAAACAAUUUCCUGA
RNAcentral lists this long non-coding RNA (3342 nucleotides) under Rattus norvegicus (Norway rat). RNAcentral's name for it is "long non-coding RNA NONRATT033125". The record is from RNAcentral. Lineage: Eukaryota; Metazoa; Chordata; Mammalia; Rodentia; Muridae.